RNAcentral lists this transfer RNA (66 nucleotides) under Sipunculus nudus (marine worm). Its description in RNAcentral is "tRNA-Trp". Lineage: Eukaryota; Metazoa; Annelida; Sipuncula; Golfingiida; Sipunculidae. The record is from RNAcentral.
AGGAACUUAAGUUAACGAAACUAGAAGUCUUCAAAACUUCCAAUAAGGCUUAAACCUUAGUCCCUG